Molecule: ribosomal RNA, 473 nt
Filed under: uncultured organism
Description: partial 16S ribosomal RNA
Rfam family: Bacterial small subunit ribosomal RNA
Source: RNAcentral
GUACACUCCUGCGGGAGGCAGCAGUGGGGAAUUUUGGACAAUGGGCGAAAGCCUGAUCCAGCCAUGCCGCGUGCAGGAUGAAGGCCUUCGGGUUGUAAACUGCUUUUGUACGGAACGAAACGGCCUUUUCUAAUAAAGAGGGCUAAUGACGGUACCGUAAGAAUAAGCACCGGCUAACUACGUGCCAGCAGCCGCGGUAAUACGUAGGGUGCAAGCGUUAAUCGGAAUUACUGGGCGUAAAGCGUGCGCAGGCGGUUAUGUAAGACAGUUGUGAAAUCCCCGGGCUCAACCUGGGAACUGCAUCUGUGACUGCAUAGCUAGAGUACGGUAGAGGGGGAUGGAAUUCCGCGUGUAGCAGUGAAAUGCGUAGAUAUGCGGAGGAACGCCGAUGGCGAAGGCAAUCCCCUGGACCUGUACUGACGCUCAUGCACGAAAGCGUGGGGAGCAAACAGGAUUAGAUACCCCAGUAGUCC